UCGCUGACGAGUGGCGGACGGGUGAGUAAUGCUUGGGAACUUGCCUUUGCGAGGGGGAUAACAGUUGGAAACGACUGCUAAUACCGCAUAAUGUCUACGGACCAAACGGGGCUUAGGCUCCGGCGCAAAGAGAGGCCCAAGUGAGAUUAGCUAGUUGGUAAGGUAAAGGCUUACCAAGGCAACGAUCUCUAGCUGUUCUGAGAGGAAGAUCAGCCACACUGGAACUGAGACACGGUCCAGACUCCUACGGGAGGCAGCAGUGGGGAAUAUUGCACAAUGGGGGAAACCCUGAUGCAGCCAUGCCGCGUGUGUGAAGAAGGCCUUCGGGUUGUAAAGCACUUUCAGUUGUGAGGAAAAGUUAGUAGUUAAUACCUGCUAGCCGUGACGUUAACAACAGAAGAAGCACCGGCUAACUCCGUGCCAGCAGCCGCGGUAAUACGGAGGGUGCGAGCGUUAAUCGGAAUUACUGGGCGUAAAGCGCACGCAGGCGGUUUGUUAAGCUAGAUGUGAAAGCCCCGGGCUCAACCUGGGAUGGUCAUUUAGAACUGGCAGACUAGAGUCUUGGAGAGGGGAGUGGAAUUCCAGGUGUAGCGGUGAAAUGCGUAGAUAUCUGGAGGAACAUCAGUGGCGAAGGCGACUCCCUGGCCAAAGACUGACGCUCAUGUGCGAAAGUGUGGGUAGCGAACAGGAUUAGAUACCCUGGUAGUCCACACCGUAAACGCUGUCUACUAGCUGUUUGUGACUUUAAGCCGUGAGUAGCGAAGCUAACGCGAUAAGUAGACCGCCUGGGGAGUACGGCCGCAAGGUUAAAACUCAAAUGAAUUGACGGGGGCCCGCACAAGCGGUGGAGCAUGUGGUUUAAUUCGAUGCAACGCGAAGAACCU
This 884-nucleotide ribosomal RNA is filed under the name Alteromonas sp. N58(2010). RNAcentral's name for it is "bacterial SSU rRNA". It matches the Rfam family "Bacterial small subunit ribosomal RNA", at positions 85 to 971 of the family's 1533-position model. The record is from RNAcentral. Lineage: Bacteria; Pseudomonadati; Pseudomonadota; Gammaproteobacteria; Alteromonadales; Alteromonadaceae.